Mastomys coucha (southern multimammate mouse) is the source of this 250-nucleotide long non-coding RNA. RefSeq lists it as uncharacterized. The transcript has 2 exons. NCBI's taxonomy places the organism in Eukaryota, Metazoa, Chordata, Mammalia, Rodentia, Muridae. The record is from RefSeq and is a predicted model, not a curated record.
GCGGGGAGCGAGAGAGCAGUCCCAGCACUGCCAACCAGGCAGUAUAGAAUGCAGGCGAGUAUGGGAAGAGGCGAGAGUACAUGCAGACCGGAUUCACCAGACAGACAACACAUAUCCAAUUGGCUCUGAAACAGUUCCAGAACAAGAUCCACAGUGGAAUUACAAUUCUGCAGGUGGUAUUUUAGCCAGAGACAGGUUCAUCACAUGCCUUCUGGCUGGUCUUAGAAAAGCGGCCUUAAAGCCCGUAAAU